RNAcentral lists this ribosomal RNA (2965 nucleotides) under Bacteroides sp. AM25-34. Its description in RNAcentral is "bacterial LSU rRNA". It matches the Rfam family "Bacterial large subunit ribosomal RNA". The record is from RNAcentral. Lineage: Bacteria; Pseudomonadati; Bacteroidota; Bacteroidia; Bacteroidales; Bacteroidaceae.
GAAAGUAAGCAAGGGCGCAUGGCGGAUGCCUUGGCUCUCGGAGGCGAUGAAGGACGUGAUAAGCUGCGAUAAGCUUCGGGGAGGUGCAAAUAACCUUUGAUCCGAAGAUUUCCGAAUGGGACAACCCAAUAUCUUGAAGAGAUAUUAUCCAACUCAGUUGGAGGCUAACGCAGGGAACUGAAACAUCUUAGUACCUGCAGGAAAAGAAAAUAAUAAUGAUUCCCCCAGUAGUGGCGAGCGAACGGGGAAUAGCCCAAACCGGUUAUGUUACGGCAUGACCGGGGUAGUAGGACUACGGCAUUGCAUGAAAACAACAGAGAAGAACUUUCUGGAAAGAAAGACCAUAGAGCAUGAUAGUUGCGUAUUCGAAUGUUGUCGAAGCAUAGUAGUAUCCUGAGUAGCGCGGAGCACGAGGAAUUCUGCGUGAAUCAGCCGGGACCAUCCGGUAAGGCUAAAUACUCCCGAGAGACCGAUAGUGAACCAGUACCGUGAGGGAAAGGUGAAAAGCACUUCGAACAGAAGAGUGAAAUAGUUCCUGAAACCGUGCGCCUACAAGCGGUCGGAGCAGCGUAAGCUGUGACGGCGUGCCUUUUGCAUAAUGAACCUACGAGUUACCGUUGCCGGCAAGGUUAAGGGUCAUGAGACCUGUAGCCGAAGCGAAAGCGAGUCUGAACAGGGCGUAUAGUCGGUAGUGGUAGACGCGAAACCAAGUGAUCUACCCUUGAGCAGGUUGAAGUCCGGGUAACACCGGAUGGAGGACCGAACCAAUAAGCGUUGAAAAGCUUCUGGAUGACUUGAGGGUAGGGGUGAAAGGCUAAUCAAACUUGGAGAUAGCUCGUACUCCCCGAAAUGCAUUUAGGUGCAGCCUUGACCAUUACUAAUGUGAGGUAGAGCGACUGAUAAGAUGCGAGGGCUUCACCGCCUAUCAAGUCUUGAUAAACUCCGAAUGCGCAUUAGUUUGAGGUCAGGAGUGAGGGCAUGGGUGCUAAGGUCCGUGCCCGAGAGGAGAAGAAUCCAGACCACCUGCUAAGGUCCCGAAAUAACAGCUAAGUUAAACUAACGAAGUCAGAUUGCUAAGACAGCUAGGAUGUUGGCUUGGAAGCAGCCAUUCAUUUAAAGAGUGCGUAACAGCUCACUAGUCGAGGAGUUUGGCGUGGAUAAUAAUCGGGUAUUAAGCUGUUUACCGAAGCAGUGGGAUCAUAUAAUGAUCGGUAGGGGAGCAUUCCACUCUGCGUCGAAGGUGGGGCGUGAGUCCUGCUGGAGCGUGUGGAAAAGCAAAUGUAGGUAUAAGUAACGAUAAAGGGGGUGAGAAACCCCCUCGCCGCAAGACUCAGGUUUCCUGAUCAACGCUAAUCGGAUCAGGGUCAGUCGGGUCCUAAGGCUCAGCCGAACGGCGAGGCCGAUGGCAGAACCGGUUAAUAUUCCGGUACUACCCUUUGGGGUGACGUGGAGACGCAGUCGUGACAAUGCCGCCAGCUGACGGAAUAGCUGGUUAAAGGGUGUAGAAGUUGAUUGUGGCAGGCAAAUCCACCACAAGAUUCGAACCUGACAGUAUGGAGCGUCCUUCCGGACAAUCCAACAGUGCAUGUAAUCAUACUGCCAAGAAAAUCCGCUAAACAUAACCUUCAGGGUACCCGUACCGCAAACGGACACACGUAGUCGGGUUGAAUAUACUAAGGCGCUUGAGUGAUUCACGGUUAAGGAACUAGGCAAAUUAACCCUGUAACUUCGGGAAAAAGGGUCCCUACCCGUUAUCGGGAGGGCGCAGAGAAUCGGUCCAGGCAACUGUUUAACAAAAACACAGGGCUGUGCGAAGUCGAAAGACGCUGUAUACAGCCUGACACCUGCCCGGUGCUGGAAGGUUAAGAGGAGAUGUCAUCGCAAGAGAAGCAUUGAAUUGAAGCCCCAGUAAACGGCGGCCGUAACUAUAACGGUCCUAAGGUAGCGAAAUUCCUUGUCGGGUAAGUUCCGACCUGCACGAAUGGUGUAAUGAUCUGGACACUGUCUCAACCGUGAGCUCAGUGAAAUUGUAGUAUCGGUGAAGAUGCCGAUUACCCGCGAUGGGACGAAAAGACCCCGUGAACCUUUACUAUAGCUUAUCAUUGAAUUUGGGCACGUGAUGUGUAGGAUAGGUCGGAGGCUUUGAAGCAGGCACGCCAGUGUUUGUGGAGCCGCUGUUGAAAUACGACCCUUCAUUUGUUUGAGUUCUAACCCGUUGUCACGGGGACACUGAUUGGUGGGUAGUUUGACUGGGGUGGUCGCCUCCAAAAGUGUAACGGAGGCUNNNNNNNNNNUCGUAAUACGAGGACACUGAUUGGUGGGUAGUUUGACUGGGGUGGUCGCCUCCAAAAGUGUAACGGAGGCUUCUAAAGGUGCCCUCAGACCGAUUGGUAACCGGUCUCAGAGUGUAAUGGCAUAAGGGCGCUUGACUGGGAGACUAACAAGUCGAGCAGGUAGGAAACUAGAGCAUAGUGAUCCGGUGUUUCCGCAUGGAAGGGACAUCGCUCAAAGGAUAAAAGGUACUCCGGGGAUAACAGGCUGAUCCCUCCCAAGAGCUCAUAUCGACGGAGUGGUUUGGCACCUCGAUGUCGGCUCGUCACAUCCUGGGGCUGGAGAAGGUCCCAAGGGUUGGGCUGUUCGCCCAUUAAAGUGGCACGCGAGCUGGGUUCAGAACGUCGUGAGACAGUUCGGUCUCUAUCUAUCGUGGGCGUAUGAAAUUUGCGUGGCUCUGACACUAGUACGAGAGGACCGUGUUGGACAGACCUCUGGUUUACCGGUUGUGCCGCCAGGUGCAUUGCCGGGUAUCUAAGUCUGGAUCGGAUAAGUGCUGAAAGCAUCUAAGUACGAAGCCGGCCACAAGAUUAGAUUUCUCAGGGUCGUUGUAGACUACAACGUUGAUAGGAUGCAGGUGUAAAGAUGGAGACAUCAAAGCCGAGCAUUACUAAUUGCCCGUUCACUUUCUUUA